UUCAAACGUGUAUAAGUAGUCAAUAACUCAAAACUCUAAACACUUGUUAAGAAUCCGAUAAACCCCGAAAAAUUCUGAUCUAGUUUCUGUACUUGAGUCUUGGAGGUAUAAACCAAUGAGACAGAUGAUAUUAAUGACCUUCUUAAACCUUUUGACACUAUACGACUAGGGAGAAGUAUUUGAAUGCAUUCUUUUAUGUUCUAUGGUUGAUAAAAGUUGUAUUUGCUUACCAGAAAAAUAAUGGAAGUGAAAGUUGACCGGAGCUGGGCGUGGGUGGUUUUGGCUGCUACGUUUGGCAUUCACUUCAUUAGUGGCAGCCUUCAAUAUUCGUCCGGAAUAAUCCGAUUAAAUUUGUUACUGGACACUAUUUCUGAAGAGAAAGUAUUUGUAACGUGGAUUAUUUCCAUAUACAACAGUUUAUUCGCUUUAGCGGGCGUACUUUCAAGUCUACUGAUCGGUAAAUUCGGAUGCCGGAAAACUUUGUUCGUCGGUGCCAGUCUACAAGCGCUCGGUUUCAUUGGGUCAUAUAUUAUAACCGACAACAAGCUAUUACUAUUAACUCUCAGUCUUAUUACAGGUACUGGAUGCGGUGUCUGUUAUACAGCUGCCAUGGUUGUUAUUAGUUACCAUUUUGAUCGCUAUUUAGGACUAGCAUCUGGGAUUGCUAUCAGCGCACAAGGAUUUGGGACAGUGAUGAUAAACAUUAUUGAAACUACUGUGAAUUUCUACGGGUUGCGUAACUUUUACUUAUUACUAGCUGGGUAUGUCCUUCAAAAUUUUGUUUUUGGGGCUCUUUUACGGACGUCUGUGCACGAACAAAACCAGAGUAAAAAAGUUAAAAAUGUCUCAAUACUGACUGGCAAAAACAACAUUGUUUACAAAUCGGAUGAAUCUGUCAACGAAAGUAAAUCAAAAUCUGAGAAUUUAACCAUCCCCUCCAGUGAAUCCCCACAUAAUCCAAACGGACAGUAUCGUCAUGAGAUCCAAUAUAACUGCGAAGAAAUCAACACUAGAACUAAAGAUUUUGACCAAGAAAGCUUGGAUAAAAACAGCACUGAUAAAACUAAUGGUAAAUUAGACCAACCCUCAGAAUAUCCAAACAAAGAAAAAUCUACUGAUGAAAUUGAAAUGAAAGACAAUUUCGACUCGCAGCACUUGCAAUCUUUAGAAGCCCUAGACAUAGAUGUAAAUGGGCAACCAAGCAACACAUUCACUAAAAAAAAUCAUUUACAGAAAUCAAGUAUAGUUAGCGACUGCAACGAAAAAGAAACCUGUUUCGGAAAAUAUGUGGCAGUUCUGAAGAAUUACAGGUUUAUCAUAUUAGCUCUAUUCGUCUUUCUUUUUUCAUGCGCCGAAAGUACCUUUCAUAUUAUGCUUCCAUCUUACUUCAUGGAAAACGGAUCGACAAAAGCACAAGUCGCGCAAGUAUUCUCUUUCGUUGGAAUCGUUUCUGCAUUCAGCCGGUUUCUAACCGGAUUAAUUCUGAACAAAAACAUUUUAUCACUCACUAUUCUAUUCUCGGUGCCAUCAUUUCUGCUUGCAAUCUGUAGUUUCUUCGUGCCUUAUUUCAUCCAGAUAUAUUGGGGCCAGCUUAUAUACUGUCUUUUGUUUGCUACGUUCAAUUUCACUGUUUAUGCACUUGUUAAUAGAAUAUGUAUCGUGAUUGUCGGUGUAAAAGGAACUGCUGAAGCUAUUGGCAUGCUCAUGUUAGCAUGGGGUUUGGGUUCCUUAACUGGAUCACCUGUCACAGUAUCCUGUCUCCUAUCAAAGCAUACUCAAUAAAUAAUACACAUUAUCAGAACAUACAAUAUUGUUACGGACCACCUGCCGUCGCCCGGUCGAACGGGAAAGUUCGCCACGGAACUCAGAGAGGAGAGAGAUAACGACAACAACAACAGCAGGAAGAGACACAGAGAUACAGCGGAAGGCAAUUGGCUACGUUUAACAACUAGUUUAUAUGACUAUUACAACAUCAAAUACAUUUAAAGAUACAUCAGAAAGAAUAAUCUUAUCGACUGGGUCCAGUGAUACCAUUACUACAAUUAUAGGUACAUUCUACAUGGCGGCCUCAUUUGUGGUUUUUCCGGCGACAUAUAGACGCUGAAUAGUUAUUACUUCCAAAGAAAAACCAUAUUGGAUAUAACAAUUGUUGUACUCAAAAUAAAUUGCAAAAUGGAUUAUUUUGUAGUAAUACUUCAUCACAUGAAACUA
This is an RNA transcript of Octopus sinensis (East Asian common octopus), 2211 nucleotides long. RefSeq lists it as uncharacterized. The transcript is spliced from 9 exons. Lineage: Eukaryota; Metazoa; Mollusca; Cephalopoda; Octopoda; Octopodidae. The record is from RefSeq and is a predicted model, not a curated record.